GAUGAACGCUAGCGACAGGCUUAACACAUGCAAGUCGAGGGGCAGCAUAAAAGUAGCAAUACUUUGGUGGCGACCGGCGCACGGGUGAGUAACGCGUAUGCAACCUACCUAUCAGAGGGGAAUAACCCGGCGAAAGUCGGACUAAUACCGCAUAAAACAGGGGCACCGCAUGGUGAUAUUUGUUAAAGAAAUUCGCUGAUAGAUGGGCAUGCGUUCCAUUAGGUAGUUGGUGAGGUAACGGGUCACCAAGCCGACGAUGGAUAGGGGAACUGAGAGGUUGGUCCCCCGCACUGGUACGGAGACACGGACCAGGCUGCUAGGGGAGGCAGCAGUGAGGAAUAUGGGUCAAGGGGCGAGAGCCUGAACCAGCCAAGUCGCGUGAAGGAAGAAGGAUCUAUGGUUCGUAAACUUCUUUUGCAGGGGAAUAAAGUGCGGGACGUGUCCUGUUUUGUAUGUACCCUGAGAAUAAGGAUCGGCUAACUCCGUGCCAGCCGCCGCCGUAA
RNAcentral lists this ribosomal RNA (503 nucleotides) under uncultured bacterium. RNAcentral describes it as "partial 16S ribosomal RNA". It matches the Rfam family "Bacterial small subunit ribosomal RNA", at positions 28 to 523 of the family's 1533-position model. The record is from RNAcentral.